This 1381-nucleotide long non-coding RNA is filed under the name Chinchilla lanigera (long-tailed chinchilla). RNAcentral's name for it is "lncRNA (ENSCLAG00000023302.1)". Lineage: Eukaryota; Metazoa; Chordata; Mammalia; Rodentia; Chinchillidae. The record is from RNAcentral.
CGCGGGGCAAGUCUGAGGAGCGCUGGGGACCCGCGAGCAACCACGCCGGAGGCGGCGAGCACAGUCGUAGGGACAGGCUCGGGGGAUGGAGACCUGGGGGCUCACUGGGGAAACGGGGACGAAAGGGCGACCCCGGGAGAAGGAGGGAAGACCCGCAAGUUACCGGGACGGCAGCGAGUUUAGGAGGGUCCGGACGUUUCCAGAAGAUCGUGUGCGCUCUGACCCUCUGUUGCUCAAGCAUCAAAUUGAAGGACGAGCCAUAUUAAGUGCCCCGAUGCAGGAGCUGCAGGCACUUUUCCAGAAGAAGGGAGGGCUCCAGCAGGCAAAUUACAGCACAUGAGGCAAGAAACCAGCACCACACGGUCACCAGGAUAAUGCCCAGUCUCCAAGGUCUUAUCUAUUCUUAUACCCUCUCUACAAGUGAAGCUACCUAUGUCAGACCCAAUGUACAAUGAAGUCCUACUAAGAUCAAGAUAAGAAAAUUGGAGGACAUCUGUAUGCUGAAAGGGAUGUGUGAACUUAAAUCGAGUCCUAUAUAUUAGGAACACUAGCACAGGACUUACUAUACAGUAAUAUUAACAUUUUCUAUUAUUAUUACUACUCUUAUGUUUAUUAAAUUCUUAUUAAGCAUUUUGCAUCCAAAAUAUCAAUCCUAGGAACAAUCUCCAUGGUAUAUGCUAUAAUCUCCCAUUUUACAUUCUUUAAGCAUAGUUAGGAAGAUUAAGCAAUGGCCCUGAGAUAAGUUGCAGAGAGAGAGCCCAUGCAAUUAACCAACCUGCUGAAAUGUGCCUCAAUAAAUAUCUGUUAAGUGAAUGAAUAAAUUUUGUAUCACAAUGUAUGACUAAUAAGCAAAGGAUAGUUAUAUUUUUAACAUAAGAUGAAAAUAUGCCAGUAACCCAGAAGCAUUUUUGAAAAUAACAGGAUUGCAGUAUACUCCAAAGGAAAAGCAUUCCUUAUGAGGCUGAAGCUCCAAGAGAAUCUAGCCAGGCCCCAUCCCUCCCACACUCAGAACACAGUAUGGGGACAUUGGAAGAUGUGGAGUGUUUUCAUCUCCCUUCAGUCUCUUGGCGCUCACAUGAACACCUACUCUAAUUUCCAGUUGGCAAAGAACAACACGGGACAUUUCUAUAGAAAAUGCUAAUGCUGUGUGACUUACCUCACCAGAGGAAUGCAAAUAGCUUUAGAAAUUUCUGCAGAAAUGCCACCUGUGCCAUAAUAUUAAAGGAACUUGCACGUCCAACUUCCCACGUAAAGGAACUGGGUCCUGGUGCAACACUUUUGGCAGUGGGGUCUACGUGGAAAUAACCAGAGGUGAGAAUUUAGGAUUAAGCGGUUGCUACUCUACCCACUAGCCACGCUCCUCUCCCACCCCCAGCGCUUU